Mytilus californianus (California mussel) is the source of this 338-nucleotide long non-coding RNA. RefSeq lists it as uncharacterized. The record is from RefSeq and is a predicted model, not a curated record. Lineage: Eukaryota; Metazoa; Mollusca; Bivalvia; Mytilida; Mytilidae. The transcript is spliced from 3 exons.
UAGUCAAAUAAAUUUUGUUCAGACUUUCCCAUUAUAUAUUAUUUUAUGUGAAUAUUAUAAUUGGUGAUUUUUUUAAAUUUUAUGUUCUAUGUUCAUUUUGAUUUUAGAUGUCUUCUUUUGUAAAGAAAGAUAAAUGGACCAAGAUACAAGAAAUGACUAAAGAAUGGGCUGCCAAAUAUGAAGUUGUUGUUUGCCUUAAACUUGAUUUAAAGAGCAAGACAGUGAAAUUUGCAGGUCCUUCAUUCAUGAAACCAUUUGGUUCAGAUGUGGAUGUGAUAAAUAAAUUUUUGCAAUAUGCUGAAAGGGAUGGAAUUUUAAUGGAGAGGAAAUGGCAUUAG